AGCUGUCAUAUAUGCAAUUGAAACUUUAUUAGUAUUGAAACAAUUUUGCUAGAAUCGGAUCCUUUCUUAAUUCUUACUAGGAAAUAUUAUCAUGAUGAUCGAGUAGCUCAGUAUUAUUGGUGGAGCAUUCCAAGCCAUUGUGAAAGAAAAGCGGGAGUGACGAACAACUUUCCUUCGAAUGCUACAGUAGGAUGAUUGUGGAGAUCUUUAUGGUCUUUUUUGCUGACACUAUUGUUUCCCUCAACAGGUUCACAAGUCUGCAACCCUUUUGCAGCAAUUGGCUGCUAUGUGCAGUUUAAGUGAAAGAACCACCUGGAAGGCUCAUCUUUGCUGGGAUUCCUUACAUGGAUGGCUCCAUUCUGCAGUCAGUCCCCUCUCUCUCUCCCCCACCCCCCCGAAGUGCCUUCUCAUUUAUUUUGAGAAAACUUAAGUGAAAGAACCACCUGGAAGGCUCAUCUUUGCUGGGAUUCCUUACAUGGAUGGCUCCAUUCUGCAGUCAGUCCCCUCUCUCUCUCCCUCUCCCCCCCGAAGUGCCUUCUCAUUUAUUUUGUGAAAACUGAUCCUGCUGUUAAUCACUCAAUAAAUUGUUUCUUCUACAAUAAUUGAGACAUUGAUCUUCUGCACACUUCCUUGAAGGAAGGAAGCUUGUUAUUCUGGCAGCACUUAUAUGAGCUAAUGAAAUGGUCCACUUUUGUUACUUUUAUAAUUUAUGCAUAUUUUACAUGUUAGCUUUAAUCUGUG
Molecule: long non-coding RNA, 741 nt
Filed under: Nicotiana benthamiana
Lineage: Eukaryota; Viridiplantae; Streptophyta; Magnoliopsida; Solanales; Solanaceae
Description: long non-coding RNA (NBEN_LNC014428)
Source: RNAcentral